UGAGGAACAUGACCUUCGGCGGGGGAUAGCCGGCCCAACGGCCGGGUAAUACCGCGUACGACCACUCGGGGACAUCCCCAGGUGGUGAAAGCAGCAAUGCGCCGAUGGAGUGCCUCGCGGCCUAUCAGCUAGUUGGUGAGGUAACGGCUCACCAAGGCGACGACGGGUAGCUGGUCUGAGAGGAUGGCCAGCCACAGUUGGGACUGAGACACGGCCCAGACCUCCGUACGGGAGCAG
Molecule: ribosomal RNA, 237 nt
Filed under: uncultured bacterium
Lineage: Bacteria
Description: partial 16S ribosomal RNA
Rfam family: Bacterial small subunit ribosomal RNA
Source: RNAcentral